UACGUAGGUGGCGAGCGUUGUCCGGAUUUACUGGGCGUAAAGGGAGCGUAGGCGGACUUUUAAGUGAGAUGUGAAAUACUCGGGCUCAACUUGAGUGCUGCAUUUCAAACUGGAAGUCUAGAGUGCAGGAGAGGAGAAUGGAAUUCCUAGUGUAGCGGUGAAAUGCGUAGAGAUUAGGAAGAACACCAGUGGCGAAGGCGAUUCUCUGGACUGUGACUGACGCUGAGGCUCGGAAGCGUGGGGAGCAAACAGG
RNAcentral lists this ribosomal RNA (253 nucleotides) under uncultured bacterium. RNAcentral's name for it is "partial 16S ribosomal RNA". It matches the Rfam family "Bacterial small subunit ribosomal RNA", at positions 524 to 776 of the family's 1533-position model. The record is from RNAcentral.